RNAcentral lists this long non-coding RNA (648 nucleotides) under Homo sapiens (human). RNAcentral describes it as "HSALNT0303942". The record is from RNAcentral. Lineage: Eukaryota; Metazoa; Chordata; Mammalia; Primates; Hominidae.
GCGAGGUGGAGGAAUGUGGCGGCAUAGAAGCUGUUCACCACGGGGAUGACCUUCUGCUGCCGAUUACACUCUCUGCAGGAAAAAGAUGAGGAACUAAGGCUCAGUGACCUUUAGUAACUUUCCUAAGGCAUGGGAACCAGGAUACCAACUGAGGUUAUUUGCUCCAGAGCUGAUGUGCAUAACCCCCGUGCUAGCUCUCCAGCCUCUUCAUCAUCCUGACCCGUCAGCUCUCCUUGGCCUGCAGCAGACCCAACCCCUGGGCCCACAUCAUCUCCUGGUGUCAGGAUGAAGACAGAAGUGAGAGGCUCGGUGCUCUAACUAGCCCUACGGGUUCUUAAAGUCUCCUCUCCCCUUCUUUGGGCUUCUGGUUGUCUGGCUGAUCGUGAGCACCUCAUCCUAAGACAGAGAAGACGCACGUGGGUAGAAGGUCAUCCUGACUUGGGGGGACACCCCAUCUCACGAUAACACAGAGGCCUGAGAGCCAGCUGUGCGGGUCAGACCCCAAGAGGAGGCAGCCUGAGUCUGGCAGGGGAGCUUCACCAGGAAGGGCCUCAGAAUCCCCUACAGGGACAGCUUUAAUGCUCUAUGUUUAGUCAGGCAAGCUCCUUUCUUUAAUAACAAUGAAACCAAGCUUGCAAAAUCCCUGAA